AUUUUUGUUAGAACAAAAUUUUAUUGGUUUUAGUCAUUACCUUUUGCAUCAUGAUUUAAUGAGUAAGUCUGCUUAUAGCAGAAUUUCGAAAGGCACCGAUACACUACUGCUUAAGUAUACGGGUAGUAUACUAGUUAAGCAAUAGUAGAAGUGAUAAAUUAAUCGGGGUGUCUUAUAACUAAUUACCGGCGCGAAAAAAUGUAAACGACUAGGGUGCAGAGAUUCUAGUUGAGAUAGCAAUAAAAAUAUAAUAAUAAAAAGAGGGUUUAAGGGUAACCAGCUUUGUUAGGUGUUAUAACCAAUUAUUAGAGUAAGAAAUAUUCUACUUAAUAGCCGGUGUAUUUAAACUGGGUAGUUAUACAAUAUGUUAUAAUAAGUAGUGAAAUACAUUAUUAAUUUCUCGUUUUAGUUCGAACUGUUUAUUAAAAACAUUUCCAUAGCUAUAUUUCUAUGGUAGGACCUGCUCAGUGUUAUAUUAAAUAGCCGCAGUAUCUUGACUGUGCUAAGGUAGCAUAAUUAAUUGUCUCUUAAAUAGGGAAUUGUUUGAAUGGUUGUUUUGAACUAAUAUAAUAUUAAUAAUUGUUUGUACGAAAUUAGAUUAUGGGUAAAGAUCCCCAUAGUAAAAUAAAAGACGGAAAGACCCCGAGAGCUUGAUUAAAAAAUUUUAUUUGGGGCAAAAUCUUUAGUGUAAAAGAAGUUUGAACCUUUGGGUUUAGUGGUUAAGUUACCUCGGGGAUAACAGGGUUAGAAAUAAGGAGAGCUCAUAUCGAUUUAUUUAGUUGCUACCUCGAUGUUGACUUAGAAGAGCUACUAGGUGCAGCAGCUUAGUAAGCAGGCCUGUUCGGCCUUUAAAUUUCUUCAUGAGUUGAGUUAAGACCGGCGUGAGCCAGGUCGGUUCUUAUCUUUAGAUCAGAUUACUUAGUACGAAAGGAUUGGUGAUUUUUUACUUU
This 950-nucleotide ribosomal RNA is filed under the name Euryhaliotrema johni. Its description in RNAcentral is "16S ribosomal RNA". The stretch from base 598 to 950 matches the Rfam family "Bacterial large subunit ribosomal RNA", at positions 2046 to 2709 of the family's 2925-position model. The record is from RNAcentral. Lineage: Eukaryota; Metazoa; Platyhelminthes; Monogenea; Dactylogyridea; Ancyrocephalidae.